This 407-nucleotide ribosomal RNA is filed under the name uncultured bacterium. RNAcentral's name for it is "partial 16S ribosomal RNA". It matches the Rfam family "Bacterial small subunit ribosomal RNA", at positions 30 to 526 of the family's 1533-position model. The record is from RNAcentral.
AUUGAACGCUGGCGGCAGGCCUAACACAUGCAAGUCGAGCGGAGCGGCGGACGGGUGAGUAAUGCCUAGGACUCUGCCUGGUAGUGGGGGAUAACGUCAGGAAACGGGCGCUAAUCCCGUAUACUAUAAGAUGAACCUAGGUCGGAUUAGCUAGUUGGUGGGGUAAAGGCUUACCACGGCGACGAUCCGUAACUGGUCUGAGAGGAGGAUCAUUCACACUGGAACUGAGACCCGGUCCAGACUCCUACGGGAGGCAGCAGUGGGGAAUAUUGGACAAUGGGCGAAAGCCUGAUCAAGCCAUGCCGCGUGUGUGAAGAAGGUCUUCGGAUUGUAAAGCACUUUAAGUUGGGAGGCGUUACCAACAGAAUAAGCACCGGCUAACUUCGUGCCAGCAGCCGCGGUAAUUC